Molecule: long non-coding RNA, 3785 nt
Filed under: Homo sapiens (human)
Lineage: Eukaryota; Metazoa; Chordata; Mammalia; Primates; Hominidae
Description: HSALNT0304163
Source: RNAcentral
GCUCUGUGAAGUACCAUUAGCCGCGGGAAUAUCAGUAUGGUGACUCCUUACCCUGGGGAAGUGUACUUAGGCCACGGCUAGGUGAAGCCCAGGGAUAUUUCUGUUCGCCCAUGCAUCCGAGAAAGGAGUGUUAGACCUGACCCUGUUGUUUCUCCCAGCAGUGAGAACGUGGCCAUGGACAAGAAUUCCAAGUAGUGGCACUUCUGUAGACGACGCGGCCCUUUUGGGGUUACUACAGCCCAGGAAACUCACAUGCGACACGGCGCCAGCUGAAGUCCAUCUAGACCCCCGCAGACCCAAGGUCACAAGUUGAGAACCCCCUGCCGUGGACAUUCUUCUGCACCUAGUGGUGAAGCAGGUGGAGCUGCACCUUGCUCCGCCCAUUUGGAGACUGGUUCUGCACAUAUGAGUGUGCCCUGCAGCGAUCCUGCAAUCCUUCGUGACUAACAAGGACUUUCUGUGAAAACAGAUUUAUCUUUUCUUCUCUACCUUUAAGGUUUCUUGCUGUUGAGAAUAGUUAAGGGACGAGGAAUUCUUAUUGCCCCCAUUUUACAGGCAAAGAAACUAAUGCUGACCCCAACCUUACCGACCACUUGGAGGUCCCUAAAAACACAUGACCUUUGUGUUUCUCGGCUGUUAGUGGAAUCCUUUCUGUCUGCUCAUGAACUCAUCUUCAAACGCAUUCCAGGCCUUCAGAACUCUUCCGUGAGCGCAAGUCACUGAUUGCACUAGAAAGAACCACAUGGGGUUUAUUCUUCCCUCUUUCAAGAAACCUAAUGAAAUUGGGCUGAGAUUCCAAGGAACUCCUGGAAAAGAGUUAUCAGUGCCAGAAUGAAAGAUCCUAGAGGCAGAGCCCACCGUUCUACUCUAUUUAUAGUGGUGAAAGAGAAAAGAGGCAGAACAUUAUAGAAAAUGGAAAUGAAGUGACUAAAGACAGCCCUUGGUGUAAGUGCCCAUUGAGAACACUGGAAGAAACUGACUUCAGAGUCCACCCGGUACAAAUGGCCGCUGAGAGUCCCUGGUAUAAGUAACCAAGGCAGUGCCUGGUCCAAGAUGCCACCUAAAACACUGUGAGACUUAGAGAGGAGAAGCAGAUUCUUUCAGAGCACACGGCGAGUUACUUGGCAGUUCCAGGGUCAGUGCUAUGCUCUACAUUGCCUCUAUUUCUUCCUGAAUUUGAAGAAUUACAAACAACUGGAAAAAUAAAAUUACUCCCUCUCUUCCCCCUAGACAGAAAAUGAAAGUAAUGAAGACUUUGGGUAAGAAUUUUACAGCGGCAUUUUCAAAGCUUUGCAAGGGGCUUUGUGCAUUUAAGAGAAUUUGCUAUUUAGAGGUCCAGAGAUCUGGCUCCUGGAGUUUGGUUAUGAAGAAGGAAGAGGCAAGUUUGAAGAAAAGGCACUGAUAUUUCUCAGUACAAUGUGAAGUCCUGAAAUCAUUAUGAAAUAGAAUUCUUUGCAAUUUAUAAAGCAGUUAGGAAAAUCCUCUUGUUUGUACUUAAGAGUUCACAUGUACACAUGCUCAUGUAUAUAAGUGUGCACAGGCACAUGUGUUAGCAUUUGUUUCUGCAUUUAUGCAUACAUGCUUGCAAAUCCCCCUUUUGGAGCACUCACCAAAAGGAACAGAAUGGAUCAUCCAUAUUGGCCCAGGACUGGACCAGACUAUAUAAAUUCAAGGGUUUAUAAUUAUCAAUUACUGUCCUUGUGAAGCACCAAGGCAUUUCUCUAGACUUAGUUACUCAGACAGGAGAGAAAUACUCAUGACGGGUAUGGCUGACUGAAUGUAUGGUCACAAUGCUUCUCUCCCCUGUGGCAGCAUACACAUCCACACUCUAGCUGUGACCUCAUGGUAUGUGGAGUGUGCUUUCCAAUCCCUGCACUUUGAACUUGGCCAUGUGACAUACUUUGGCUACAGAGCUUUUCAUAGACAUAGGAAGGCAGAGACUUGAAAUACAUAUGUGUGGCAGGCCUUGCCCUCUUGUAUUUCUAUUAUUGCCAUGAGAAGAACAUGCUCCAGGUAGACCAUUCUUCCAAGGAGGAUGAGAGACCAGUGGAGUAGACCUGGGUCCAGCUUAGUUUGGAGCCAAGCCCCAAAUGACAUGCAGACUUAUGAAGAUGAAUACAUUACUAUUGUUAAACAAAUAGUAUUACAAAUUAUUGUUAAAGUUUUAGGGUAGUUUGUUAUAAAGAUUAUUGUGACAAUAGCUGACAAAUACAAUGGGGGAGGCAGUGAGUCCUGGGCUGAGACCAAUUUCUGUGGGUAAGAAGGUGAAAAGAAGUGAAAGUAAAUGUAUCCAAGACAGAAGAAUAGAGGACAGAAAGCCGGGUUAGGAAUAGAAGCAUGCAUGCGAGGGGACCCCCAAGGGCAGCAUUAAUUUUGGGAGUUCCUGCUUUAAUUAGCCCAUCCUUUCAGCAAAGUUUGAUCUGCACAUGCAGUCUUGUGUGGUGGGUAUAGAAAAUAAAGUUUGGUUGGAAGCUGUGGGUGAAGAGCAGCCUCCUACUUAGGGGCUGUGUCUAGGAGUUCUGUGCAGUGACUACAGUGAAGUGGUCAUGACCCACAGUCAAGUUGCAAACAUCUGAGAUGAGUUUGCUAUGGCCAGGAAGAAUUUUCUAGUACAUCGUAAAGGAGAAAUUAAAGGCCUCUGAAUUGGUGGGGGAUUGCUGGGAGUGAUAAUGGACUCUCAAGUAGCACUUCAAUGUAAAGAAUUACUGAUAUAAACUAUGCACAUGUAAAUAAAUUAUAGGCAUAUAGAAAAAUUAUGAAUUUCACAAAAUCCACAAUUUAUCAAACAUAUUAAGUCCAAAGUGCCAUGUUCCUCCACUUUUAGUAUACGUAAGAGUCUCCUAGAGUGUUUGUUAAAACUGCAGAUUCCUGGACCCCAUUCCCUGAACUUUUGAUUAAGUCAGUCCAGGGCCACACUUUAAGAAACAUCGAUAAGCUGCUUCCUUGCUAUGGUUACAACAACCCCUUGUCUUUCAUGUAGGAAUUUGGAUAUUUCAGGCCCAUUUUACACAUGAUCCAACUAUAAUUGUCCUUUUAAAUGUUGAAAUAGCCACCAGAAGACCAGGCGUGUUGCUAUGUGCUCUGCAUUUUUUAAGCAGAACCUCCUGAAUUCCUCUUUCCAUCCUUGUUAUUCAAACAACUUCUAGUGCUUAAAGUGCACCCCAAAACUCCUUAUUGAUGUGUCGUAUGUCACAUCAAAGCAAGCUACAUUUAAUUUUUUGUGUUUGUCUUGUCACUUCAUUGGUUAAAAUCUUUGAAAUUUCAGUUUUUAAACAAACAAAAUCUGUUUUCACAUCCUUCUGCCUUUUUUGGGGCAAAGUGGAGGAGAAAAAUCUGUAUUGCUUUUUGUUUAAGUCAGGUCUAUUAAUAUAUGAUUUAUAUACAGUAAAAUUCACCCUUCUUACGUAUACACUUCUAUAAGUUUGACAAACUUAUAUACUGACAUCACCACCACCACCAAUAAGAUUUGGGAUCUUUCCGUCACCUAAGAAAGGUUCCUUGUGUCCUUCGUUAGUCAAUCUCAUCUCCUUUGUCACUAUGGUUUUAUCUUUUGCAGAUGUCAAUACAUGGAAUCAUAAAGUAUAUAAUAUUCUGUAUCUGGCUUCUUUUACUUGGUUCAACACUUUUGAAAUGCACCCUUGUCAUUCAUAUCAUCAGUAGGUUGUCCCUUUUUACUGCUGAGUAGUAUUCCAGCAUAUGAAUGCACUAUAAUUUGUUUACCCGUUAACUAGUGGAGAGACAUUAUGACAUUUCCAGUUUGGAGCAAUUAUGUAAAAAAGCUUCUA